UGUUAAAAUUUUUAUCUAUUUUUACAAUUAAAAAUUUGUUUUUGUACCUUAGAAUAAGGUACACAUCAUGCCAGUUUUUAACUAUAAAAAUAGAUUAAAUUUUUAACA
Molecule: non-coding RNA, 108 nt
Organism: Gossypium hirsutum (cotton)
Lineage: Eukaryota; Viridiplantae; Streptophyta; Magnoliopsida; Malvales; Malvaceae
Source: Rfam